Molecule: ribosomal RNA, 460 nt
Filed under: uncultured bacterium
Lineage: Bacteria
Description: bacterial SSU rRNA
Rfam family: Bacterial small subunit ribosomal RNA
Source: RNAcentral
AACCGAGAACUCCUACGGGAGGCAGCAGUGGGGAAUAUUGGACAAUGGGCGCAAGCCUGAUCCGGCCAUGCCGCGUGAGUGAUGAAGGCCCUAGGGUUGUAAAGCUCUUUUGUGCGGGAAGAUAAUGGCGGUACCGCAAGAAUAAGCCCCGGCUAACUUCGUGCCAGCAGCCGCGGUAAUACGAAGGGGGCUAGCGUUGCUCGGAAUCACUGGGCGUAAAGGGUGCGUAGGCGGGUCGUUAAGUCAGGGGUGAAAUCCUGGAGCUCAACUCCAGAACUGCCUUUGAUACUGCGGAUCUUGAGUUCGGAAGAGGUGAGUGGAACUGCGAGUGUAGAGGUGAAAUUCGUAGAUAUUCGCAAGAACACCAGUGGCGAAGGCGGCUCACUGGCCCGAUACUGACGCUGAGGCACGAAAGCGUGGGGAGCAAACAGGAUUAGAAACCCGUGUAGUCCGACUGAGA